GGCAAGGAGCCGCCGGCCCUUGGAGCAGCUCCUCAGCAACUGUUGCUUUUCCUUGCCAGAGAAUCUCGCCCGAAGAAGCCGCUUUGAUCAAUGCACUUGGAUUCCAGCCUUCAGCCUUGAUCAAGGCGGGAGGAGGGACGAGGGAGAGCGAGCACUCGCGGGCUCUUUGGGGACGGCCGGGAAGCGAGGCUGCCGCUCCAAGGAAAGCUGCUUCAAACCAGUCUCCACUCCUGGCAUAUGCAGUAGGAGCAAAAGGGACUGUGGCAGGAGGAGGAAGAGGGAGGAAGAAGCUGAGGUCACCACCAUUUCAGGAGGUUGUGAAUUUUCCCUUCCUUCUCCUUUACCAUUCACCACAGACCCUGUAAAUCCUCUCUGGAGAGAAAACACCAGGGAGCAUGGCAUGGGGGGAUGAGAACCCUUGGUGGCUUUGAAAGAGAUGGCAGAGAGGAAAAACAGCCCAGCACUGGCAAAGGGGGGAAAAUGGACUGAGAGAAAGAAGCUGAAAAUGUGCUGAAACAGCUGAUGACAGCCCAAACAGCAGGAGAAGGCUCCUGCCUGCCAAUUAACGAGGCUCUAGUGCUAAUUUGCCACCUUGACUGCACUUCUGAGCUUGGCAGGAGAAGGGGGAGGAAAAACAAAAAGAUGAGGCUAAAAAGGAGCCAGUGAGG
RNAcentral lists this long non-coding RNA (668 nucleotides) under Junco hyemalis (dark-eyed junco). Its description in RNAcentral is "lncRNA (ENSJHYG00000015323.1)". Lineage: Eukaryota; Metazoa; Chordata; Aves; Passeriformes; Passerellidae. The record is from RNAcentral.